This is a small nucleolar RNA of Tachyglossus aculeatus (Australian echidna), 138 nucleotides long. NCBI's taxonomy places the organism in Eukaryota, Metazoa, Chordata, Mammalia, Monotremata, Tachyglossidae. The record is from RefSeq and is a predicted model, not a curated record.
CCCCUCUCAGGAUGGAACCUGGAGAGUUUUCAGUACUUUACCAGUUUCGGCUCUGGGAGGGAGAGUCAAGUAGGGACAUGUCCAUUCCAUUCCUAGCUUGGGAAGUGGCUAGUGAGUGGAAGGCAAUCUGCUACAAGU